CUAAGUUUGAUGGCGACCGGCGCACGGGUGAGUAACACGUAUCCAACCUGCCGAUGACUCGGGGAUAGCCUUUCGAAAGAAAGAUUAAUACCCGAUGGCAUAGUUCUUCCGCAUGGUAGAACUAUUAAAGAAUUUCGGUCAUCGAUGGGGAUGCGUUCCAUUAGCUUGUUGGCGGGGUAACGGCCCACCAAGGCGUCGAUGGAUAGGGGUUCUGAGAGGAAGGUCCCCCACAUUGGAACUGAGACACGGUCCAAACUCCUACGGAAGGCAGCAG
RNAcentral lists this ribosomal RNA (274 nucleotides) under uncultured bacterium. Its description in RNAcentral is "partial 16S ribosomal RNA". It matches the Rfam family "Bacterial small subunit ribosomal RNA", at positions 79 to 354 of the family's 1533-position model. The record is from RNAcentral.